Long non-coding RNA from Siniperca chuatsi (mandarin fish), 961 nucleotides. RefSeq lists it as uncharacterized. The record is from RefSeq and is a predicted model, not a curated record. The transcript has 3 exons. Lineage: Eukaryota; Metazoa; Chordata; Actinopteri; Centrarchiformes; Sinipercidae.
AAAUGCAUGAGUCAUCACUCAGUACAAGAUAUAAAAUGUGUACGGUACCAUUAAUUUACCAAGCCUUACAGGGUGCACGUAGACUUGGCCCAAAGUUUGGAAAAUGUAUUAAAUAUUAUCAUCACUUCACAAUUUGUGUUGUUCAGUGAUUACUAGGGGUGUCACGAUUCUCCAAAUCCACGAUUCGAUUUUGACUUUCGAUUUUAACUAUACACAAAUUGUAUAGUACAAUCAAUCACACACUAUGACAGCAUACAUGAAAUUGUGCUUAUAAGUUAAAGGUUCUGUACACAAUACUUUGAACAUUAAUAUAGCAGCAAACAGCUAUUUGCUAUGUAAAGAUUUAGUGGAGUAAUGGCUUCCUGAGCAGAGAAUGACACCACACUCCCUCAGUUUAUUGUCAUCCGAGCUUCUCUGUUCUUUGUUUUGGUAACCAGUCCAGCCGCGUGUGCAUGUUAGUGCAUGUGAGACUCUCCGGGUGAAACUGCUGGCUUUGAGGAGAGCGAUACGACAGUUGUUUCUUUUCUCAUUUAACGCGGUGAAUUAAGGAUUUAUUUCAACCAAACCAGAGUUGGUGAUUGUUGGAACAGUGGAAAGACUAACAAAGACCGUUUUGGUACCUGAAGAAAUACGCCCACACCAAUGCAGGGCUGUUUUCCGUCUGAACGCCUACUUAGGCUUUGAAACAACAUUGGUGCCACUGGAUACUGUUGAUAAACAGACGGACUCCAGAGGGUUAACACGGAACUAAAACUCCAAGAUAACGAUAUUCCUGUGUAAGAGUGUGCCUUCAGUGGGGAGUGUGUGGGAUUGACUAGGUUGCACACCUCACUGUGAAAAACUAAUCAGAGGAAAUUCUCACUUUUGCUUCCCAAACAACUCAAAUAAAGAACAAGAGGGACGAUGUUUGUCUGUGUGCGUGUAGACAUUUAAAACAUUUAUUCAAGCAGCGGUUUAUGGU